RNAcentral lists this ribosomal RNA (156 nucleotides) under uncultured bacterium. Its description in RNAcentral is "partial 16S rRNA". It matches the Rfam family "Bacterial small subunit ribosomal RNA", at positions 355 to 507 of the family's 1533-position model. The record is from RNAcentral.
UAAGGAAUAUUGGUCAAUGGGCGCAAGCCUGAACCAGCCAUCCAGCGUGCAGGAAGACGGCCCUAUGGGUUGUAAACUGCUUUAGUCAGGGAAUAAACCCCUGGAUUUACUCCGGGGCUGAAGGUACCUGAAGAAUAAGCACCGGCUAACUCCGUG